ACUACUUUUGCUUUUUUCAUCAUGCAGGCUGCCAUUGUGAAGAGUUCACUGUAUAUCUACAGCUUCUGAGUUAAUAUAAAAGAAUAUGCAAGCAGUAUGCAUGGACAAUUUGUUUUUAAGACGAGUUACUUAUAAAGGAACUGCGGGGCAGCCUACAUGCAACCCACUGUUAUGUUGUUUACUAAAGGAACCACAAUCUAAAUUGAUUAAUUAAUUGAUUAACUUUGGGAUAGAUUUGAUCAGAAUGGAUGUUGCAUCCAGUCAGCUGGGCAAUUUCCUGAAUUUAGUUCAAGGAAAAUCUGGCCAGAUGGCUGGUUGUGUUUAAGCUGAUAAAUUGCUGGGUUCCUGCCGACUUAAGUGGUGUUGAUGAAAUGCUGUGGUGGCUGGAUUUCCUGUUUUCUGCAUCCCAGUGCCCUGAGGAUAUCUUACACCUCUCUGGAAUUGAUGAAAAUCAUAGUAAUUAUAAAAUAAAAUGCUGCUGCUUCUCUUA
Pantherophis guttatus is the source of this 490-nucleotide non-coding RNA. The record is from RefSeq and is a predicted model, not a curated record. Lineage: Eukaryota; Metazoa; Chordata; Lepidosauria; Squamata; Colubridae.